GCUGAAUCUAGUUCAAACAAUUAAUACUGAAUUUUAUAUCUGCAGGCAGUGUAAUAAACUGGAAUAUAGUUUUCACUCUGAUCAGUCACAUGAGAGGUAUCUCCUUACUGCUGCAUCCCCUUAAGCAUCCUUAUUCACCCAUACCUGCAUUCUGGCAAGUGCUGCAGCCUCUCCACCAUUAUUUUAUGUACAGACCUCAGCCAGGGCUCAUUUUUUUGGGAGUUAGACACCCCCUCCUCAAUGUGCCACUGAAAACGCACCAAGAGCCAGAGGCUGAGCCCAAAUUCAGAAGCUGAUGGACUGGAUCAGAGCACUCACCGAGGAGUGUGGUGAUGGGAGCAGCCUUGUUGGUUCUUAAUCUUCAAGAUUUGGGAGUUUGUUGUUGUUUUGGUUUGAUGUUUUUAAGAAUAGUCCCAUUAGGGAUAGAAGGAAGUGGUGAAAGGAAAGAUUUACUAAACUCUUCACAAAAUAGGCUGGUAUUAUUGGUCCAAAUUAAUGUUCUGACAUGGUUUUUUCUUCUAAAUAUUUUUUCUUAGUUGUGCAUAAAAUGCAGCAUGAGCUUGUCACAGAUGAAGACUAGGGCCUUUUUUGAAGCCUCAACAUUGCUGCAUGUUGCAGUUGACCACAGUUUAUUUUAAAAAGAGCAGGUGGACAAGGAAGCUGUUGGCCUGCUCAUUUACAGUUGUUGCCAUCAAGAGCAAAUAUUCUCAGUCAAUGCUGAAAUAAAAAAUGUGAAGGUGCUGGAUCUGCUGUCAGCCGGGCAGCUCUAAACAGGAGUUGGGAAAAACCUGAAGAUUUCAAAUGAAGAUGGAUGCUCAGCUGGGGCUCAUUUGGAGAAGUUUUCAGUAGCAGUUCUGCAGAACUUUUCCACUCUUGGAGUUUGAACCUUUGUCUCCCACGUUCCAGUGGAAGGUGUCC
Molecule: long non-coding RNA, 918 nt
Organism: Serinus canaria (Common canary)
Lineage: Eukaryota; Metazoa; Chordata; Aves; Passeriformes; Fringillidae
Exons: 3
Source: RefSeq, a predicted model, not a curated record